Long non-coding RNA from Panicum virgatum (switchgrass), 2230 nucleotides. RefSeq lists it as uncharacterized. The transcript has 2 exons. The record is from RefSeq and is a predicted model, not a curated record. NCBI's taxonomy places the organism in Eukaryota, Viridiplantae, Streptophyta, Magnoliopsida, Poales, Poaceae.
GAUUGACGGCCGGCGUCAUUUGGAUCAUGCGCUUCCACGCGCGACUCAACGCGGAGCCUGCCUCACGCGCGAAACAAGCCUGCCGCAGCCGGGGUUCGAAUCCUGCCUCGCCUCUAUUUCCUUUUUUUUCGGAUCACGGGCGCCGGCUAGGGCUGGCUCUUCGACUUCCUGCCGUUCGCCGGCAGAUCAAAGGGCCUCCGCUCUGAGCGCCUCCGCCCAAAGUGCCGGACGGCAGCAACCCCACCGCAGCCGUCCUCCCGCGCGCCUCCCGCGAAUCCCCAGCGUCGCCCUCGCCUCCCGCCGAACCCGCCCUUCGCCGGCGCCACGAGUGGCGCACGCCUCACCACCCGCGAACCCGACCUGCGCCGCCGCCCCGCCCUGCGCCUGCUGCGGGCUUAGGCCGCCGCCGCCAGCGCGCGGGCAGCGGGUUCCGGCUGAGAUGGGGCCAUGGGGGAAAAAGAAUGGCAGCCGGCCCCGCCCCGAGGCAGAUCCGCAGCCGGCGCAGCACAAUGCCUCAGCAAGGAAGGCCGACUCCCCAGCGCUCCGUCCCUCGAAGACCAGCGCCGUCCUCCACAUAUAGCGCCAGCCGGUUCACGCGGCGAACGGCGACCGGCACAACCGGCGCUGCCCCUCGGUACAAGCCUACAAGAGGCUGCACCCUGUCCAGUGCGGCCCCUCCCACAGGCCGAUUUAUGCAUAUGCAUAGGGAGAUUCGUAGAUGUACGCCCAGAACUGGAUAAGCUUGCAGAACAUGGAUAUUUGGUGAAAGAUGACAGUACUAGCCUUUUGGUUCUGAACUUAUUUGUUUCACCUUCUCAUUGUCCUAUUAUGAAUUUCAUCUCUGCUUGGCUAUAGGUAUUCCAGAAGGAUAUAGCUAGCUGAAAGAAUUAUGUUUGUGUUUUCUUUGGAUGUUUGAUGAAAUUCAUAAUAGGGAUGUCGUCUCUUGUUUGUGCAGCCAGAGAAUGGUGUGCGUCACCUUCUCACCCUCCUUUCCUAUUUUUUGGAGUAUUUACUGCUUUUGUUCUUUUUAGUUCACUUCCCAUUUUCCUCAAAUUGACUAUGCCUUGGGUUACUAACCUGCUCAUCAUGCUGCCCGACAUUGACACUGGGAGUACCAGCCUGCUCAUCAUGCAAAGUUGUAUUGUUUCAUGGAUAAGCCUUACAAUACACAAUUUGCAAAGUUGUAUUGUUCAUACAUACAGGAGCUGCGCCAACCUCACGGUUCUUCUCCAUAGAGGACAAGCUACUCUUGCGUAUGGAUUUCCACAGUUGGUUGCAUUUUCUUUUUCAAGGAAGCUAUUAUGACAUUGGCAAGGCUGGGUUUGUAAGCAGCAGUACACAAAUUAGAUGUGGAACGUGAAAGGUGAGAAGUGCUUCCAAUUCUUCAUGGUUUCAACAACAGUCUUCCAAUUCUUUUAUAUUUUGGUUCCAGAUGCUUUGUUACUCAUUUGCAUUGCGAAAGCAUUUCUUCUUUUGUAGUGGAAUUGACAAUGUAAGGAUUCCAUUCGGUUUUUCCAAUUCAUACUAACUAAUCUAUACUCGGCAAUCCCAUUUCUUUGCAUGCUUUGGUUUCUAUAUAAAAGAUAUUAGAGUUGCAAUCCCAUUUAGAGUUUGAAAAAUUACAGCACUUGUUGGAGUGCACGGGAAUUAAACUUUUGCUCAAGUUCCUCCUCCCUGCUACCUUUUGCUCGAUCCACGGCACAGCUGCUCAGGAACAUCGCUGCUGCUGGUCGAAGAGAGGAGGAGCCGUACGGAGACAUGUUACCUGUACGAACCACCAGUACAAAUACAGCCUGCACUCUCUUGUGCUCCUGCUGUUUUAUAUGAUACAGUGAUUUGCAGGGACAUUUUGCAUGAUGCCUACUGUAUUGUUUUAAAUCUGUUAAUAGUCAAAUAGAGUUUCUAAACCUAUGUACAUGUUGAGAGAUUCCUCGAGGCCACCACGCCUGUGGUUAUGCCCAGCUCCUCCUCCAAGGUAAUGGAAGAUACACCUCUUCGUUUUAGUAGUUUGGUUGUUCUUGAUUCAACGAUGUACUGCUAGAACCACAAAAUGAACAUCUGCAAUUAGUUGUCUUACAGUAUUGUAAACAGUGAACAUUAGCUCAAGUUACAGUUGUGCAGAAGCUUUUUAUGUUAAGAUUGUUCUUCUAGCGGUGAUUGUGUUCAUAUGCUCAUUCAAUAUUUGUAAAAACAAAGACUGAACAAAACUGGUUUACAAGUUCAGAGUUCA